AUUGAACGCUGGCGGCAGGCCUAACACAUGCAAGUCGAGCGGAUGAGUGGAGCUUGCUCCAUGAUUCAGCGGCGGACGGGUGAGUAAUGCCUAGGAAUCUGCCUGGUAGUGGGGGACAACGUUUCGAAAGGAACGCUAAUACCGCAUACGUCCUACGGGAGAAAGCAGGGGACCUUCGGGCCUUGCGCUAUCAGAUGAGCCUAGGUCGGAUUAGCUAGUAGGUGAGGUAAAGGCUCACCUAGGCGACGAUCCGUAACUGGUCUGAGAGGAUGAUCACUCACACGGGAACUGAGACACGGUCCAGACUCCUACGGGAGGCAGCAGGGGGGAAUAUUGGACAAUGGGCGAAAGCCUGAUCCAGCCAUGCCGCGUGUGUGAAGAAGGUCUUCGGAUUGUAAAGCACUUUAAGUUGGGAGGAAGGGCAGUAAGUUAAUACCUUGCUGUUUUGACGUUACCAACAGAAUAAGCACCGGCUAACUUCGUGCCAGCCGCCGCCGUAA
This 500-nucleotide ribosomal RNA is filed under the name uncultured bacterium. Its description in RNAcentral is "partial 16S ribosomal RNA". It matches the Rfam family "Bacterial small subunit ribosomal RNA", at positions 30 to 523 of the family's 1533-position model. The record is from RNAcentral.